AGCGUAGGCGGUCAAGCAAGUCAGAGGUGAAAGGCAUCGGCUCAACCGAUGUAAGCCUUUGAAACUGUUUGACUUGAGUGCAGGAGAGGUAAGUGGAAUUCCUAGUGUAGCGGUGAAAUGCGUAGAUAUUAGGAGGAACACCAGUGGCGAAGGCGACUUACUGGACUGUAACUGACGCUGAGGCUCGAAAGCGUGGGGAGCGAACA
Molecule: ribosomal RNA, 206 nt
Filed under: uncultured bacterium
Lineage: Bacteria
Description: partial 16S ribosomal RNA
Rfam family: Bacterial small subunit ribosomal RNA
Source: RNAcentral